AUCUUCAGAACACGAGCGUGCUUGCUCACUUUGGCAGCACAUACAGAGAAGAUUAGCAUGGUCCCUGUGCAAGGAGGACACUCAAAUCUGUGAAGCAUUCCGUAUUCUU
Molecule: small nuclear RNA, 109 nt
Filed under: Peromyscus maniculatus bairdii (prairie deer mouse)
Lineage: Eukaryota; Metazoa; Chordata; Mammalia; Rodentia; Cricetidae
Source: RNAcentral